CAAAAUAAGAACUAAAUGUAAAACAAAGACCCUUAAUUUUUAGUGAUAAAUUCUUCACACAUAUUAUAACAAACUACUCUAAAAAGAAAGCACAUAUAUAUUUUAUAUAAAUAUUUCAAGAUGAAGAGACAGAUAUGAAAUAAAAAAUGACCACCAGAGGAGCCAGAAAGCCAAAAAUAUCAGUCAGAGAAGACACCAAAAAAACAUCAAGAAAAGCCUACUCUUUACCCGGAAAGAGACAACCCAGCAAGACAGAAAGCUUUUAGAUAAUUAUCACUCCACUUCAGCAAAACACUACAGGAAAAAUUGCCCAUUCCCAGCCCUAACAACAAAGGCCAAGUGGGAGUCUAGACUUCUGGCCUCACCAAACUAUAUCAAG
This 379-nucleotide long non-coding RNA is filed under the name Mustela putorius furo (domestic ferret). RNAcentral describes it as "lncRNA (ENSMPUG00000032122.1)". Lineage: Eukaryota; Metazoa; Chordata; Mammalia; Carnivora; Mustelidae. The record is from RNAcentral.